Molecule: transfer RNA, 71 nt
Filed under: Stegodyphus mimosarum
Lineage: Eukaryota; Metazoa; Arthropoda; Arachnida; Araneae; Eresidae
Rfam family: tRNA
About the family: Transfer RNA (tRNA) molecules are approximately 80 nucleotides in length. Their secondary structure includes four short double-helical elements and three loops (D, anti-codon, and T loops). Further hydrogen bonds mediate the characteristic L-shaped molecular structure. tRNAs have two regions of fundamental functional importance: the anti-codon, which is responsible for specific mRNA codon recognition, and the 3' end, to which the tRNAs corresponding amino acid is attached (by aminoacyl-tRNA synthetases). tRNAs cope with the degeneracy of the genetic code in two manners: having more than one tRNA (with a specific anti-codon) for a particular amino acid; and 'wobble' base-pairing, i.e. permitting non-standard base-pairing at the 3rd anti-codon position.
Source: Rfam by way of RNAcentral
GUCUUCGUAGUGUAACGGCAGCACACUCGGUUUGUAUUCGAGAGGUCCAGGUUCGAUGCCCGGUGACGGCA